AUCUGAAGGAAUUGGCGGGGAAUAUCAGGGUCAUUUCUUAGAUUGACCUUCAUAAGUAAUAGAGGCCUUUUGUAUUGAUGUUGCAUUUUUAAAAGGCAGCUUGGCAUUGACUGGGGCUUGGGGUGGGAGGAACACUAGAUGAGGAGGAGGCAAGCCCAGUCCAGGCUGUGUUGUGGUCUCCCUUGUUUAGCCGUUUGAUUCAAGGAGGCCCUGUGUAAUCCCAAAACCCAAAACCCUCUCAGUGUUCUGAAGUUUAUUUCUCCUUUUAAAGAGGAUAACUUGCUUUGCAACUCAAAGGAUAUUUUAACCACAAUUGCUGUUGCAUUUGUAUAUUAUAGUGAAGAUUUCAGACUUAUGUUUGUCC
Molecule: long non-coding RNA, 364 nt
Filed under: Bos taurus (domestic cattle)
Lineage: Eukaryota; Metazoa; Chordata; Mammalia; Artiodactyla; Bovidae
Description: long non-coding RNA NONBTAT024153
Source: RNAcentral